RNAcentral lists this ribosomal RNA (596 nucleotides) under fungal endophyte. Its description in RNAcentral is "eukaryotic LSU rRNA". The stretch from base 181 to 334 matches the Rfam family "5.8S ribosomal RNA". Lineage: Eukaryota; Fungi. The record is from RNAcentral.
AUUAAAGAGUUCUAUAACUCCCAAACCCAUGUGAACAUACCUAACGUUGCCUCGGCAGGUCGCACCUACCUUGUAGCACCCUACCCUGUAGGGCCUACCCGGGAGAUGCGGGUAAGCCUGCCGGCGGCCCACCAAACUCUGUUUGAUAUUGAAUUCUGAACAUAUAACUAAAUAAGUUAAAACUUUCAACAACGGAUCUCUUGGUUCUGGCAUCGAUGAAGAACGCAGCGAAAUGCGAUAAGUAAUGUGAAUUGCAGAAUUCAGUGAAUCAUCGAAUCUUUGAACGCAUAUUGCGCCCAUUAGUAUUCUAGUGGGCAGGACCGUUCGAGCGUCAUUUCGACCCUUAAGCCUUAGUUGCUUAGUGUUGGGAGCCUACGGCAACGUAGCUCCUCAAAGUUAGUGGCGGAGUUGGUUCACACUCUAGACGUAGUAAUUUUUUAUCUCGCCUAUUAGUUGGACUGAUCCCCUGCCGUAAAACCCCCAACUUAUCAAGGUUGACCUCGAAUCGGUUCAGACAAACUCGCUAAAUUGAAGCAUCUUAGUCAGCGAAGGAAAAGAAACCAACAGGGAUUGCCCUAGUAACGGCGAGUGAAGCG